RNAcentral lists this ribosomal RNA (464 nucleotides) under uncultured Klebsiella sp. RNAcentral describes it as "bacterial SSU rRNA". It matches the Rfam family "Bacterial small subunit ribosomal RNA", at positions 339 to 795 of the family's 1533-position model. Lineage: Bacteria; Pseudomonadati; Pseudomonadota; Gammaproteobacteria; Enterobacterales; Enterobacteriaceae. The record is from RNAcentral.
CUACGGGAGGCAGCAGUGGGGAAUAUUGCACAAUGGGCGCAAGCCUGAUGCAGCUAUGCCGCGUGUGUGAAGAAGGCCUUCGGGUUGUAAAGCACUUUCAGCGGGGAGGAAGGCGGUGAGGUUAAUAACCUCAUCGAUUGACGUUACCCGCAGAAGAAGCACCGGCUAACUCCGUGCCAGCAGUCGCGGUAAUACGGAGGGUGCAAGCGUUAAUCGGAAUUACUGGGCGUAAAGCGCACGCAGGCGGUCUGUCAAGUCGGAUGUGUAAUCCCCGGGCUCAACCUGGGAACUGCAUUCGAAACUGGCAGGCUAGAGUCUUGUAGAGGGGGGUAGAAUUCCAGGUGUAGCGGUGAAAUGCGUAGAGAUCUGGAGGAAUACCGGUGGCGAAGGCGGCCCCCUGGACAAAGACUGACGCUCAGGUGCGAAAGCGUGGGGAGCAAACAGGAUUAGAUACCCGUGUAGUC